RNAcentral lists this ribosomal RNA (728 nucleotides) under Flavobacteriaceae bacterium Pbc-abBscn1b. RNAcentral describes it as "bacterial SSU rRNA". It matches the Rfam family "Bacterial small subunit ribosomal RNA", at positions 23 to 744 of the family's 1533-position model. Lineage: Bacteria; Pseudomonadati; Bacteroidota; Flavobacteriia; Flavobacteriales; Flavobacteriaceae. The record is from RNAcentral.
CUCAGGAUGAACGCUAGCGGCAGGCCUAACACAUGCAAGUCGAGGGGUAACAGGGAGUAGCUUGCUACUUUGCUGACGACCGGCGCACGGGUGCGUAACGCGUAUACAAUCUGCCUUGUACUGGGGGAUAGCCUUUAGAAAUGAAGAUUAAUACCCCAUAGUAUAUGACUGUGGCAUCACAGCCAUAUUAAAGGUUACGGUACAAGAUGAGUAUGCGUCCUAUUAGCUAGAUGGUGUGGUAACGGCACACCAUGGCGACGAUAGGUAGGGGCCCUGAGAGGGGGAUCCCCCACACUGGUACUGAGACACGGACCAGACUCCUACGGGAGGCAGCAGUGAGGAAUAUUGGACAAUGGAGGCAACUCUGAUCCAGCCAUGCCGCGUGCAGGAAGACUGCCCUAUGGGUUGUAAACUGCUUUUAUACGGGAAGAAACACCCCCACGUGUGGGGGCUUGACGGUACCGUAAGAAUAAGCACCGGCUAACUCCGUGCCAGCAGCCGCGGUAAUACGGAGGGUGCAAGCGUUAUCCGGAAUCAUUGGGUUUAAAGGGUCCGUAGGCGGACGAUUAAGUCAGAGGUGAAAGUCUGCAGCUCAACUGUAGAAUUGCCUUUGAUACUGGUUGUCUUGAAUUAUUGUGAAGUGGUUAGAAUAAGUAGUGUAGCGGUGAAAUGCAUAGAUAUUACUUAGAAUACCAAUUGCGAAGGCAGAUCACUAACAAUAUAUGGAC